Molecule: ribosomal RNA, 468 nt
Filed under: uncultured bacterium
Lineage: Bacteria
Description: bacterial SSU rRNA
Rfam family: Bacterial small subunit ribosomal RNA
Source: RNAcentral
AGUGAACGCUGGCGGCGUGCUUAACACAUGCAAGUCGAACGAGAACGGGUUAUAGCUUGCUAUAAUUGUCAGCUAAGUGGCGCACGGGUGAGUAAUGUAUAGGUAAUAUGCCUCUUACUAAGGGAUAACAAAUGGAAACGUUUGCUAAUACCUUAUACUCCUUAUUAACUAAAGUUGGUAAGGGAAAGAUUUAUUGGUAAGAGAUUGGCCUGUAUUGUAUCAGUUAGUUGGUGGGGUAAAGGCCUACCAAGCCUACGAUCUGUAGCUGGUCUGAGAGGAUGAUCAGCCACACUGGGACUGAGACACGGCCCAGACUCCUACGGGAGGCAGCAGUGGGGAAUCUUGGACAAUGGGCGCAAGCCUGAUCCAGCCAUGCCGCGUGGAUGAUGAAGGCCUUAGGGUUGUAAAAUCCUUUCAACGGGGACGAUAAUGACGGUACCCGUAGAAGAAGCCCCGGCUAACUUCGUG